This 466-nucleotide ribosomal RNA is filed under the name uncultured bacterium. RNAcentral's name for it is "partial 16S ribosomal RNA". It matches the Rfam family "Bacterial small subunit ribosomal RNA", at positions 28 to 507 of the family's 1533-position model. The record is from RNAcentral.
GACGAACGCUGGCGGCGCGCCUAACACAUGCAAGUCGAACGAGCGAGAGGAGGUUUACUUUCUCAAGCGAGUGGCGAACGGGUGAGUAACGCGUGAGGAACCUGCCUCAAAGAGGGGGACAACAAUUGGAAACGACUGCUAAUACCGCAUAAGCCCACGACCCGGCAUCGGGUAGAGAGAAAAGGAGCAAUCCGCUUUGAGAUGGCCUCGCGUCCGAUUAGCUAGUUGGUGAGGUAAUGGCCCACCAAGGCGACGAUCGGUAGCCGGACUGAGAGGUUGAACGGCCACAUUGGGACUGAGACACGGCCCAGACUCCUACGGGAGGCAGCAGUGGGGAAUACUGCACAAUGGGGGAAACCCUGAUGCAGCGACGCCGCGUGGAGGAAGAAGGUCUUCGGAUUGUAAACUCCUGUUGUUGAGGAAGAUAAUGACGGUACUCAACAAGGAAGUGACGGCUAACUACGUG